CGCUGGCGGCGUGCCUAAUACAUGCAAGUAGAACGCUGAAGGAGGAGCUUGCUUCUCUGGAUGAGUUGCGAACGGGUGAGUAACGCGUAGGUAACUGCCUGGUAGCGGGGGAUAACUAUUGGAAAACGAUAGCUAAUACCGCAUAAGAGUAGAUGUUGCAUGACAUUUGCUUAAAAGGUGCAAUUGCAUCACUACCAGAUGGACCUGCGUUGUAUUAGCUAGUUGGUGAGGUAACGGCUCACCAAGGCAACGAUACAUAGCCGACCUGAGAGGGUGAUCGGCCACACUGGACUGAGACACGGCCCAGACUCCUACGGGAGGCAGCAGUAGGGAAUCUUCGGCAAUGGGACGGAAGUUCUGCCCGGAGCAACCACCGCGUGAGUGAAAGA
This 389-nucleotide ribosomal RNA is filed under the name Streptococcus mitis. RNAcentral's name for it is "bacterial SSU rRNA". It matches the Rfam family "Bacterial small subunit ribosomal RNA", at positions 34 to 412 of the family's 1533-position model. The record is from RNAcentral. Lineage: Bacteria; Bacillati; Bacillota; Bacilli; Lactobacillales; Streptococcaceae.